Molecule: non-coding RNA, 546 nt
Filed under: Pan troglodytes (chimpanzee)
Lineage: Eukaryota; Metazoa; Chordata; Mammalia; Primates; Hominidae
Source: RNAcentral
GCAAAAAGGGCACGGGGCAGAGGGACUAUGUUGUGAGCCUGGGAAAGAAGUUUGUGUGGGGACUGUGGGCAGUGAACGCGUUGGGAACAAUAUGGAAAACUGGGAGCUGCCUUGGAAUCUACAGGGCCGGGCUGAAGAAAAGAAGAACGAUAUUCACGCAGUUCCCAUUUUACAGAUGAAAACAAGAGGACUUUUUCUGUGAAGUCAGGAAAGUGGUUACAAUGGUACUUUCCGCCUGUCCGAAUUAUGUAUUGCCCCUCCCCUUUCUAUUAAUAACAUUGAAGUGUGAUGGGACAACCACUGAAGCCGUCAGUUGAAACCUGCUGGGACUUUUUAGCCAUUCUCUUCAACAUAAAGAAUGGGUGUUUUUGGAGGGGUGAGAGGAAUGGGGAAAUGUUGUCAAAGAGUACAAUGUUUUAGUUGAGACAGGAAGAAUACAUUUUGUUGAGAUCUACAGCACAGCAUGGUGACUGUAGUUAACAAUGAAGUAUUGUGUAUUUCAAAAUUGCUAAGACAAUAAAUUUCAAAUGUUCUCACCACAAAAAA